Molecule: transfer RNA, 73 nt
Filed under: Paramuricea clavata
Lineage: Eukaryota; Metazoa; Cnidaria; Anthozoa; Malacalcyonacea; Plexauridae
Description: tRNA-Thr
Rfam family: tRNA
About the family: Transfer RNA (tRNA) molecules are approximately 80 nucleotides in length. Their secondary structure includes four short double-helical elements and three loops (D, anti-codon, and T loops).
Source: RNAcentral
UACCGCGUAGCUCAGUUGGAAGAGCAUUGGGCUAGUAUUCCAAAGGUUGUAGGUUCGAAUCCCACCGUGGCCG